Small nucleolar RNA from Juglans microcarpa x Juglans regia, 107 nucleotides. The record is from RefSeq and is a predicted model, not a curated record. Lineage: Eukaryota; Viridiplantae; Streptophyta; Magnoliopsida; Fagales; Juglandaceae.
AAUCCAUGCCGAGGGCAUCAUUGAAUCAAAUCUUUAUACCUUUCCCAUGCUUCAUAGAGUGACUCAAAAUCAUUCUGCUUGAAUAGACUAAUCUCACUCUUGAGUUG